Molecule: long non-coding RNA, 306 nt
Organism: Notothenia coriiceps (black rockcod)
Lineage: Eukaryota; Metazoa; Chordata; Actinopteri; Perciformes; Nototheniidae
Exons: 3
Source: RefSeq, a predicted model, not a curated record
UGUAUUUGAAAGUAUAUAAAUAUGGGGUGGGAAACUCAUUUCAGUUAAGGGGCCACAUACUGCCCACUUUGAUCUAAAGUGGGCCGGACCAGUAACAUCAUAGCAUAAUAACCCACAGGCCCUACAUAACGACAAUAUUUCUGUUUAAGUGCAAAUAAGUAGCUACAAGUACAUUCGGAAAAUGUCCACAUGUAAUGAGACGCAAAACGUUAUGAACAAACUGAAAUGUACUGUAUUAAGACAAACAAGUGCAAUUUCAAGUGCUACACACAUGUUCUUUACAACAGAUCACAGUUUCCACCUGAA